UGUUAGCACAGCUGAAAACGGUUGUUCUGAUUGAAGAGGCAAUCAAACUGGCCUUCAUUAGACUUGUUGAGUAUCUGGAGCAUCAGCAUUUGGAUCAUCAACAAAGAUUUUGUCUCCAGCUGGAGGGACCACAGACGCUUUGCUCUGACCACGCUGAGAAACUUUGGUCUGGGCAAACGCUCCAUGGAAGAGCGCAUCCUCGAGGAGGUCUCCCACACCUGCUCUGUGCUGGAGUGCAAUGCUGGCAGUUCGAUGGACCCUCAGCACCUGUUCCAUUAAGCAGCGUCUAACAUCAUCUGCUCACUGAUUUACGGGGAAAGGUUUGGAUACGACAACCCAGUCUUCCUCACCCUCAUCAGUAGGAUACAGGAUUUAACCAAAAUUGCUAUCGGACCUUGGGACAUGGCUCUCGUGUAUGCCUGGGAGAAGGGUUUGCGCGCACGGAGCUCCUUCUGAUACUGGUAACCUUGCUUCGACAUGUCCAAUUUGUCUCGCCUGAACAAGAAGGUGCGCCUGACUUCCGCCAGAUUUUUGGCAUUGCACAGGCGCAAAAACCCUACCGCCUGGGAGUGCGUCUGAGAAGCAGCCAGUGAUGGUGAACUACCGACAGUUUUCACUGAGAGGCAAUAUCACUAAAGCAGCACAUUAAACAAUGUUAUACCCUC
Long non-coding RNA from Oncorhynchus kisutch (coho salmon), 665 nucleotides. RefSeq lists it as uncharacterized. The transcript has 4 exons. The record is from RefSeq and is a predicted model, not a curated record. Lineage: Eukaryota; Metazoa; Chordata; Actinopteri; Salmoniformes; Salmonidae.